CGUCAAAUCAUCAUGCCCCUUAUGACCUGGGCUACACACGUGCUACAAUGGACGGUACAAACGGUUGCGAAGUCGCGAGAUGGAGCUAAUCUGAUAAAACCGUUCUCAGUUCGGAUUGUAGGCUGCAACUCGCCUACAUGAAGCUGGAAUCGCUAGUAAUCGCGGAUCAGCAUGCCGCGGUGAAUACGUUCCCGGGCCUU
RNAcentral lists this ribosomal RNA (200 nucleotides) under uncultured organism. RNAcentral describes it as "partial small subunit ribosomal RNA". It matches the Rfam family "Bacterial small subunit ribosomal RNA", at positions 1183 to 1382 of the family's 1533-position model. The record is from RNAcentral.